This 822-nucleotide ribosomal RNA is filed under the name Triticum aestivum (bread wheat). RNAcentral's name for it is "partial small subunit ribosomal RNA". The record is from RNAcentral. Lineage: Eukaryota; Viridiplantae; Streptophyta; Magnoliopsida; Poales; Poaceae.
AUGCAGCAGCUCGGUCCUCCCGCCGGCAUGCAACCAGUUGCCUUCAAUGCCGGGUCGGCGUACAAAACUGCCGCAGGGCCGCCAGCUAACACUCGUCCACGCAAACCGAAGGGCGGCAAGGGAGGACGCCCUAAAUACCAUCAGGGUGCGGCGCCUCCUACUACCACUGCCGCCGCUCCCUUCAUGUCUCCGCAAGGGCAGCAGGGGGUAGCACCUGCUCUCGUCUCUGGACCAACUCUGACAGCAGGACAUGGACAAAUGGUAACUAUCCAGAAUCAGCCACAACUACCGGCUCAAUCCGCAGGGUCUGAUGGUGUCGCAAUGGUGCCUAAAAAGAUGUGGUGCACUAAAUGUCAGUCUGCAGGACACCUUGCUGAUGACCGUGAGACACCGCAAUAUUGUUUCAUAUGUAACAAGAUGAACCAUCCGAUGACCAUGCGCCGGUGCCCUGCUCUUAAGAUGUCGAAGCCGGUGGCGAUGCUUUGUGGAUAUGGUACUGAGAACAUGGCCUUCUUUCAGAUGCCUGACAACGUUUGCAGGGAGGAUCUUUCUCCACAAAUUUCUCCAACGGCGUUAGUCACGAUCUCUGGUGGUUCUAUCACUCCCAGUAUUGUGGAGGCCGAGGUUGCCAAGAUUGCACAGUAUCAACAACAGUGGACCUGGGAAGCUAUACCACAUGGUCAGAAUGCUUUUCUCAUGUCUUUCCCUAGCGAGGAGGUGCUUCUGAGAGUCACUGGGUUUACGGUUUUCAUCAAAUCGCACAAUGUCACUUUGGAGUUGAAGUCCUGGAAGUCCGAGGAGAUACGCACUGUUUCGAGUUAA